GUAUACAGCCAUGCCACCCUGAACAAGCCCAAUCCUGUCUGAUCUCAGAAGCUAAGCAGGGUCAGGCCUGGUUAGUACUUGGAUGGGAGACCACCUAGGAAGACCUGGUGCUGUAGGAG
Molecule: ribosomal RNA, 119 nt
Filed under: Pteropus alecto (black flying fox)
Lineage: Eukaryota; Metazoa; Chordata; Mammalia; Chiroptera; Pteropodidae
Source: RNAcentral